RNAcentral lists this transfer RNA (71 nucleotides) under Floridichthys carpio (goldspotted killifish). Its description in RNAcentral is "tRNA-Val". It matches the Rfam family "tRNA". Rfam says of the family: Transfer RNA (tRNA) molecules are approximately 80 nucleotides in length. The record is from RNAcentral. Lineage: Eukaryota; Metazoa; Chordata; Actinopteri; Cyprinodontiformes; Cyprinodontidae.
CAGAUCGUAGCUAAGACAGUAAGCAUCUCCCUUACACUGAGAAGUCACCCGUGCAAAUCGGAUCGCUCUGA